GUAAGGUCUUGCUCCCCUUGUGGCUAUGUACAGUAUUUACGGCUUAUAUGUUCGGUCCUGCUUCCUAGUGGCUAUGUGAGGGUAAUACAGCUUGCGUGUUUGAAUCUGCUUCCUAGAGGCUAUGUGGGGGCAGCUUAUGUUCUUAAAAUACGUAACAGUAUGAAUGUGUGAAUUAUGUAACAGUAUCCUUCUAUUAAUUUGUUUCAUGUCUUCUGUGUUUUUGUUUGUUUAGCUCAGACUUUCACUGUGCUCGACCUGAUAGAGCCAGUGGAGCCGGAUGAUGGAAACCUGAAAGCCGAAGCAGCAUCACCAGUGAAUGCCCCUGCUGAAAAGUGCUCCAAGCUUGGCUGUCACCAGGAACUUCUUAGAUUGGAGACAGAAAGAUGCAUGCUUGACAUUGAAAUGCUCAUUUAAAAAAAUAAGUCAUUUUGCUACAGAAAGAGGUCCUAUCACUUCAGAAGCAAACGAUACUGGACAUAAGCCAGUCGCAACCAAUAUAAUUUGUAAUUAAGUAGUGAAUUAAUUCUGAAACUUUGUUAUCAUUAACGUAUUAAUUUAUAAAGUUGAAUACGCUCCGCCGUAGCGUUUCCGUCUACACUGCCAAGACGCAAAACACUGCUCAGAUCUGCUCACGUCGCGUACGCGUUUACGUCACAUACAUGUGCCAGUACAAUGAAAUAAACAAACAUGUCCGAUUAUUUCCAUGUGUCGGACCUUCAAGCUGCUCUGGCUGCUCCAACAAGCGUACAGGAGUCUUUUCACGAAAUGUACAGGAUAUUUACAGAUAGAAUUACUGAACAGAGAAGGAUCUUUUUGGUUUUUGAGGCACGGAUAAGAGAAGAAGGAAGAUUCUAAGCAUGCGCUCAGACAUGUCGGUGUUGUGUGAUAGUGUAUCACAGCACCACCUAGCCGCCUGGCAUGCAUACCAAUCGAAUUCCACACACUUUUGCGUCACCGUAUGCACGCAGAUUUCCUCCCGAAAACGCUCGUCUAAACGCGGAAUAAAAAGUGAAUACGCAACGUCACUUUUGCGUCUUCAUUUCAGACCGUCAUUGUGUAAACGUAGCCUCAGUUUGACACAUUUUGGGAAAAAUUCUCUUAAGACAGACAGACCACAGAACCUCGUGCAGCAGCAACCCCUACAGAAACAACCAAGAAAUAUGAGCCACUUGAGUGACUAUGUGGUAGACACCACAGUUGGUCACGUCAAAAAGAAGCGGAAGGGAGGACUGGGUGUAAAAGACUGUAUUUCAGUACUCUGGAUGCUGUAGUGGGAGAGAUGAAAGCUAGAUUCAGAGUAAGAAACAGCCACUGGUGCAGGCCCUGUGCACCUUACACCCAGGGAGUGAAGAUUUCCUGGAUGCAAACAAAGUGAGACCACUGCUUGACCUCACAGGCACAGACAUGAAGGAAGCUGAUUUUGCUGUAGCACAGCAGUUUCUGCAGGACGAAAUGGCCAAAUAAAAUAAAAUCUGGACUACACAGGACAUUUUGAUAAGAUACUGUGAGCCUCUAGCAGCCAUGCCUACUGUGCUAAAAACACUCAAGCUGAGCCUUACCUUCGGUGAAUCAACUGCAACAUGCGAAAAUUCAUUUUCAACUCUAAAAAAUGUGUUCAGUGAACACAGAAGGAGCAUGUCCCACUAAAGAAUAGCCUGUCUCAUCCAGAUUGCUGUGGAGAAGGACCUCACCAAAAAGUUAACUGGACACUGGAAAGAGUCGCUGCUUAGAAGAUUCAGAACAGCUCCAAGGAGGCUGCAGCUCUUCUGAGGGUAAGAAAUAUUUUUUGUAAUCACAUUUCAGAUUUUAUUGUAUCAAGUAUUAUGAUUUUUUUUUGAUUUUUUUCUUGUGUAGAAUUCUGUUCUUUUUACACAUCACACAUAUCAAAAACCUAUCUCAUAUCCAAAGCUAUCUAAGAUAUCAAUAAGCUAAUGUUGCAGCUGAAAUGUUCUCCACAUCAAAAGACAUGAUAUGAUACCAUCUUUUAAGCACAGUAAAUGUUUGUUGUCCCAACAUGUCAGUAGAACUACGCAGAAGUGCUUGUCUAUGGUAGAAAGGCCUGUGUGUAAAAAAGUGAAGUCUUUACUGAAGCUGGGUAGCUGGUUUUAGUAUAGUACUGGUGCACCCCCUGUAAUCUCAGAUGCACCCCAAGGCAUUCUGGUCUGGAACCGGGCCUGGUAAAUUGGUUCCACAUUGCCGUUUUCUAUGGCAUGCCUUGUUUCCCUGGGGAGUGGUUUGGCGUCACACCUGUGUGUCAAGCUUCAGUGGGUGCUGAUACACGGAGCUGGUGAGUUGUGUUUGUGUCUCUCUCCCUUUGAUUAUUUUUUUAAAACUUUUGUAUGGUGCCCAUGGACCGUUGUGGUGGAUUACCCUGCUUCGCAAUGUGCUUUUGGGCACGUGGGAGAAAUUCCCUGGUGUAGACAAUUUUCCGUCAUUUAAUUGUUGGAAGGGCCGACUUUUAGAAUUCGCAAAACAAAAGUACUUUCUUCAAGUAUAAUUAUUUACAAUUUCAAACACAAAAAAUCAAAAAGUGAGUUGCCACAUCAGCUGAUGAUCGAGACGGAGGCUGGCACAAAUGAUGUCAACGAGCAACACUGUUCCUGUAAAGCUGGCUCCCCAGGGUUCUGCGCCCACAUCAUUGGGCUUAUCCAUACCCUGGACCCAGGCCUACAACUACAGACAGAAAAAAGAGACCCAUCUUCUGCCAAUACAACAACAACAGGGCCGCCCAGAGACGUUGGCCCGCCAAUGAGACUCGACCGUGCGAGCGCCACAUGUGCGCGCGCGUGCGUGUGUGUGUGUUAGGGCUGUCAAUCCUCCCCUCAAAUCA
This is a long non-coding RNA of Gadus chalcogrammus (walleye pollock), 2830 nucleotides long. RefSeq lists it as uncharacterized. The record is from RefSeq and is a predicted model, not a curated record. The transcript has 3 exons. Lineage: Eukaryota; Metazoa; Chordata; Actinopteri; Gadiformes; Gadidae.